RNAcentral lists this ribosomal RNA (484 nucleotides) under Scleromystax prionotos. Its description in RNAcentral is "partial 16S ribosomal RNA". It matches the Rfam family "Bacterial large subunit ribosomal RNA", at positions 1850 to 2543 of the family's 2925-position model. Lineage: Eukaryota; Metazoa; Chordata; Actinopteri; Siluriformes; Callichthyidae. The record is from RNAcentral.
AGGUCCUGCCUGCCCAGUGACUAUGUUAAACGGCCGCGGUAUUUUGACCGUGCAAAGGUAGCGCAAUCACUUGUCUUUUAAAUGAAGACCUGUAUGAAUGGUGGAACGAGGGCCUAACUGUCUCCCCUUUCAAGUCAAUGAAAUUGAUCUAUCCGUGCAGAAGCGGGUAUAUAACUACAAGACGAGAAGACCCUUUGGAGCUUAAGAUUAAAAAUCAACUAUGUCAAAUAUUUAUUAAAUAGAACUAAAUAGUAACUGAUUAUAAUCUUCGGUUGGGGCGACCACGGAAUAAAAAUAAACUUCCACACGGACUGAGGACUAACCUUAAAACCAAGAAAGACAUUUCUAAGUCACAGAAUUUCUGACCACACAGAUCCGGCAAAUUGCCGAUCAAUGGACCAAGUUACCCUAGGGAUAACAGCGCAAUCCCCUUUCAGAGUUCCUAUCGACAAGGGGGUUUACGACCUCGAUGUUGGAUCAGGAC